This 254-nucleotide ribosomal RNA is filed under the name uncultured bacterium. Its description in RNAcentral is "partial 16S ribosomal RNA". It matches the Rfam family "Archaeal small subunit ribosomal RNA", at positions 474 to 727 of the family's 1478-position model. The record is from RNAcentral.
CACCAGCGCCACGAGUGGCAAUCGCGUUUAUUGGGCCUAAAGCGUCCGUAGCAGGUUUUGUAAAUUUCUUGUGAAACUGCCAAGCUUAACUUGGCAAUGUGCAGGAAACACUGCAAGACUAGAGACCGGGAAGGGUCGGAAGUAUUCCUGAGGGAGCGGUAAAAUGCUAUAAUCUCAGGAGGACUACCGGUGGCGAAGGCGUCCGACUAGAACGGAUCUGACUGUGAGGGACGAAAGCUAGGGGAGCAAACCGG